GAUGAACGCUGGCGGCGUGCCUAAUACAUGCAAGUCGAGCGAACGGACGAGAAGCUUGCUUUUCUGAUGUUAGCGGCGGACGGGUGAGUAACACGUGGAUAACCUACCUAUAAGACUGGGAUAACUUCGGGAAACCGGAGCUAAUACCGGAUAAUAUUUUGAACCGCAUGGUUUAAAAGUGAAAGACGGUCUUGCUGUCACUUAUAGAUGGAUCCGCGCUGCAUUAGCUAGUUGGUAAGGUAACGGCUUACCAAGGCAACGAUGCAUAGCCGACCUGAGGGGGUGAUCGGCCACACUGGAACUGAGACACGGUCCAGACUCCUACGGGAGGCAGCAGUAGGGAAUCUUCCGCAAUGGGCGAAAGCCUGACGGAGCAACGCCGCGUGAGUGAUGAAGGUCUUCGGAUCGUAAAACUCUGUUAUUAGGGAAGAACAUAUGUGUAAGUAACUGUGCACAUCUUGACGGUACCUAAUCAGAAAGCCACGGCUAACUACGUG
This 497-nucleotide ribosomal RNA is filed under the name uncultured bacterium. RNAcentral describes it as "partial 16S ribosomal RNA". It matches the Rfam family "Bacterial small subunit ribosomal RNA", at positions 28 to 507 of the family's 1533-position model. The record is from RNAcentral.